UACGGAGGGAGCUAGCGUUGUUCGGAAUUACUGGGCGUAAAGCGCACGUAGGCGGCUUUGUAAGUUAGAGGUGAAAGCCCGGAGCUCAACUCCGGAACUGCCUUUAAGACUGCAUCGCUUGAAUCCAGGAGAGGUGAGUGGAAUUCCGAGUGUAGAGGUGAAAUGCGUAGAUAUCUGGAGGAACAUCGGUGGCGAAGGCGACAUCCUGGACCGGUAUUGACGCUGAGGCGCGAAAGCUAGGGGAGCAAACGGG
Molecule: ribosomal RNA, 253 nt
Filed under: uncultured bacterium
Lineage: Bacteria
Description: partial 16S ribosomal RNA
Rfam family: Bacterial small subunit ribosomal RNA
Source: RNAcentral